Long non-coding RNA from Anarrhichthys ocellatus (wolf-eel), 753 nucleotides. RefSeq lists it as uncharacterized. The record is from RefSeq and is a predicted model, not a curated record. The transcript has 4 exons. Lineage: Eukaryota; Metazoa; Chordata; Actinopteri; Perciformes; Anarhichadidae.
CUUCUUCAUGUCUUUAUUAUGAACUUUGUCUCCAGUAGAGGACACUAGAGGACACUUUACUCUUCAUGUCUUUGUUUAUUCUCUCUGUUUCUUAGACUUGUUCCAGUCCUCAGUGUCGAUCGUCUUCGUCCGUCUUUCAGUCCAAAGCAAAGAUUGUGAUCGAUGACGGCACCGGUGAGGCUCACCUGUGGUUCUCAGGUGCUCUUGUUCGUCCUCUGCUGGGAUUGGCUGAUUCUCAGUGGGAGGGGCUUCAGAGAGCGCUAAGGGUCAGAGGUCACGUCAGAGUCUACCCCCGGGGGCGGAGCCUGGUGUGUGACUCUGGUGACCCUCUCCUCCACUUCCUGUUGUGUGUGUGCAGCAGUGAUGUCGUGUGUCGUCAGCUCUCUCUCACCUGCAGAAAACAAAACAACCAGAGAUCAGGAGAGAUGAAGAGGUUCAGCAGAGGAGAACGAGACUUCAUGACCAGAGUGACUCCUCCUCUACAGCUCACCUGUCUGCACCUGAACGCCGACUGAUCUCACCUGUACACGUCAACGCACCCGUACACGUCAACGCACCCGUACACGUCAACGCACCUGUACACGACAACGCUGACUGACCUCACCUGUCUGCACACUGACCACAGGAAGAGGCGGAGACAGUUCACCUUACUUUGAAUGUUUUCUCUCAGUUUUAUAGAAUGUGUUGAUAUUCUGUUUCGUUUGGUUUGACAUGUUGAUAUAAGUUAUUAAAUAUUCAUUUAUUUCUCCUGAA